AACGCACAUUGCGCCUUCUGGUAUUCCGGAAGGCAUGCUUGUUUGAGUAUCAGUAACAACCUCAGCCAAGUUUUUCUCGCUUCUGGCGCAGAAAGCAAAAGCUGGAUUUGAGCAAAGUCCCUUGGGAUCAAUUGAACGACCUUCGGGGAGCAAUUGAGCCGGUGGGGGAUGCUUGAAAUACAGGUUCGGGCUGACCAAAUGUCCUGGGCUACAAGCAUUUCAUACUUGAUCCCGUUAAACGGAUCAUUUCCAUUGCUGCAGCCAACACAAACAGGAUCAAACGUGUCCAGUGUCCGACUGAUGCAGGAAGUUGGAACAACAGAGCGAUCUGUGGUUCCUUUCUAACUCGAUCUCAAAUCAAGCAAGACUACCCGCUGAACUUAA
Molecule: unclassified non-coding RNA, 384 nt
Filed under: uncultured Mortierella
Lineage: Eukaryota; Fungi; Mortierellomycota; Mortierellomycetes; Mortierellales; Mortierellaceae
Description: sequence contains ITS2
Source: RNAcentral